GAUGAACGCUAGCUACAGGCUUAACACAUGCAAGUCGAGGGGAAACGACAUCGAAAGCUUGCUUUUGGUGGGCGUCGACCGGCGCACGGGUGAGUAACGCGUAUCCAACCUGCCCACCACUUGGGGAUAACCUUGCGAAAGUAAGACUAAUACCCAAUGAUAUCCCACGAAGGCAUCCGAAUGGGAUUAAAGAUUUAUCGGUGAUGGAUGGGGAUGCGUCUGAUUAGCUUGUUGGCGGGGUAACGGCCCACCAAGGCAACGAUCAGUAGGGGUUCUGAGAGGAAGGUCCCCCACAUUGGAACUGAGACACGGUCCAAACUCCUACGGGAGGCAGCAGUGAGGAAUAUUGGUCAAUGGGCGAGAGCCUGAACCAGCCAAGUAGCGUGCAGGACGACGGCCCUAUGGGUUGUAAACUGCUUUUAUAAGGGAAUAAAGUGGGUCACGUGUGACUUUUUGCAUGUACCUUAUGAAUAAGGACCGGCUAAUUCCGUG
This 492-nucleotide ribosomal RNA is filed under the name uncultured bacterium. RNAcentral's name for it is "bacterial SSU rRNA". It matches the Rfam family "Bacterial small subunit ribosomal RNA", at positions 28 to 507 of the family's 1533-position model. The record is from RNAcentral.